This 68-nucleotide transfer RNA is filed under the name Marmota monax (woodchuck). Its description in RNAcentral is "tRNA.Ala". Lineage: Eukaryota; Metazoa; Chordata; Mammalia; Rodentia; Sciuridae. The record is from RNAcentral.
GUGGUGGCUCAGUGGUAGCACACUUGCCUAGCAUGCAUGAGGUACUGGGCUCAAUUCUCAGCACCACA